Molecule: transfer RNA, 84 nt
Filed under: Bacillota bacterium
Lineage: Bacteria; Bacillati; Bacillota
Description: tRNA-Leu
Rfam family: tRNA
About the family: Transfer RNA (tRNA) molecules are approximately 80 nucleotides in length. Their secondary structure includes four short double-helical elements and three loops (D, anti-codon, and T loops).
Source: RNAcentral
GCGGGUGUGGCGGAAUUGGCAGACGCGCUAGACUUAGGAUCUAGUGGGCUCCCCGUGCAGGUUCAAGUCCUGUCACCCGCACCA